Molecule: long non-coding RNA, 69 nt
Organism: Lingula anatina
Lineage: Eukaryota; Metazoa; Brachiopoda; Lingulata; Lingulida; Lingulidae
Source: RefSeq, a predicted model, not a curated record
CUCAUUAAGUGGGAAGAACCUACCUGUGCCACAGGCUGGCCAAGGUGGUUAUCAAUGUAAGAUAGGCAC